RNAcentral lists this ribosomal RNA (253 nucleotides) under uncultured bacterium. RNAcentral describes it as "partial 16S ribosomal RNA". It matches the Rfam family "Bacterial small subunit ribosomal RNA", at positions 524 to 776 of the family's 1533-position model. The record is from RNAcentral.
UACGAAGGGGGCUAGCGUUGCUCGGAAUCACUGGGCGUAAAGCGCACGUAGGCGGUUCCGUAAGUCAGGUGUGAAAAAUCUGGGCUCAACCCAGUGGAGCACCUGAUACUGCGGUGACUCGAGUCCGGUAGGGGAGUGUGGAAUUCCUGGUGUAGCGGUGAAAUGCGCAGAUAUCAGGAGGAACACCGACGGCGAAGGCAGCACUCUGGGCCGGUACUGACGCUGAGGAGCGAAAACAUGGGGAGCGAACAGG